GUUGCCGACCGAAUAACACAGGCUGAAGGGACGAUUCGCACAGACCGAAGAGCACAGGCCGAAGGUAUUAAUCAAUAAUAAUUUCCAUUGCCAAUAAUAAUAAUAAAAAGGAAAAAAAAUCAACCUAAGUUCUUGAUAUCUAAGCCAAGUGGAGUUGUUCAAUAUUAGUAGAAAUGAUGAAAAUGAAAUAAAAAUCAACUCUGUCAACUUUUAUUUUCUCAUUUCUUUCUGGAUAUGAUGCAUGCUGGUUAAUUGUAUAUAUGUAUUUACAUAUUUUAUAAAGAUCAUUGAAUCAUUGCCUCGUUUGUUUGAACUUUGAACAAUAUUAUUUUAGUUUGUGCUUUCAUUCUAUUGUAGAUUGUGUGUAUCUGGGUCUGGUUUUUCUGACCAAUUUGAGUGUUGUUGAUUUGUCUGGAUUUUUUUUUUGUACAUAUAUUUUUUUUUCUUUUCAUUGGGUGAUAUCAAAUAAAAGAAAGCUCGUGAUUUUAUUUUAUUGUUCAUCGAGGUGUAUCAUGGGAUCCGUUUAUUUCAAUUUUUUUAUUUUUCUGUUGCAUUCUUUCUGCCUGACCAUUCAAGUAACGAAAAUAGCAUUUAUAAUUUAUUCCAUUGUUUGAAGAAGUUUAAUAUAUUUGCGUAAAUUGGUAAGCAAUGAAUAAAUUUUGCAACUUCAGAAAGUAGACCAAUGUUAUUCAGAUUCUAUAUAUAUAUUCAUAUAAAUGGGGUGAUAGUCUAUAAAACCAGAGCUCACUGUGCAAGCUGAGCCAAUCAUGGACCCUUAUGGCCCUUCUAUAGUUGAUGAAAAUUUGGAAGCUAUAGUGGUCAGGUUAGUUUUGGAUUAACUUCUUUUUUGGGACAUUUCAUUGAAAUUUAUACAUGAUGAUAAGAAUUAUGAUUUGGCCAUUAAACUGGUUUUUCAAGUGGAUUAGUUGAAUUUUGUUUGAUUAAUGAGCCAGAAGAAGAAAAGUUUGACUGAUUUUGGUUAUGGCAGUAAGGAGACUUUACCAGGUGGAGUUUCAAUCAAUAAAAAGAGAGUUGAAAAAGGACUUUCACAACUAAAGGUUUUCACUUUGUUUCUUUCUACUCUCUUCUGAUUUUGGAUUAUCAAACCCAGUUUUAGAUAUUAUUCAAUUAUGGAAGUUUAUGGAACUAAUAAUAAACUAUAUUAUAUAAUAUAAUCUCUUAUACUAUAACAAGCUCCCCUUUCUCCUUCAAGCAAGAGAUGUUGGUCUCAUUCUCACUUUCGUCUUGAGUAGUCUUUUAUUUUUCUCUUUGGAAAGCAAUUAAUGUAUGUAUGCUAAUAUAUAAUAUAUUAAAAGCUACACAUGAGGAUAUAUAAUGAUAACUUCCAUGUCUAAUUUCAAUAGCUCGAGUAAUUAAUAAUCUCCAAAAUGGCCAGUCGACAACAUCAUUCAAUUCCUGUUAUGUAUAAUUCAUCUCAAUAAGUUUAAUUAAUUUCUCAAUAUAUAUAUAUCUUUGCAUAGCAUGUUAUAUAGCUUGGUUCUUAGCAAAAAUGGCAUAUAUAUGCAUGCCUCUUCCCCUUGUGGUAUUGAGGGUAAUCAAAUACUAUCGAUCAGAUCAUCACACUCUUCUUUGUAUAGAUUAUUGAGUAGAACAUCAUUUAUAUCAAUCAUUAAUAUUAGUUUAUGUAGCUAUAUAUAGUUAAUUAAUUAGGAGACUCUAGCUAUACAUGAUAUGUUUCUUGAAUUUGGUUUGUCUUGUUCAUGCAGCUUCUAAUUGAUGGUAACUUAUUAUUACAGUAACAUAAUUGUUGGUCCCUUUUGUGUGUUUAUAAUUUGUUUUUGUUUGCAUAUUGUAAUGUGGUACUGACAGCUUAAAACAAUGGCCAUGAGUACUUAUCCCCAAAAAAAUCAGAGCUCUAUCUCGUCGUUCUCCUGACUCCCUACUCUCUCCAUCUUGCUGUCAUCUCUUGGUUUUUUGAGGUACUCUUGCUCGUCUUUGGUGUGUGUGGCGUCGUCUCCAGUGGUGGCUAUUCUCUCUUCCCAUUAAAGGGCCUAAUUUGAAGUAAUUUGGAUACAAUUUUUAGUUUUGUUGUCUUAGUUUUGAAGGUUGCCUACAAAAUAAUCAGACAACUCUGGAAUGAACUCUUUUUCCUUGGAUACAUAUUUGAAAUCAAGUAUGCCUCUCUUUCCCUCCACAUAUUGAAAGAGGUUUAUUAGUCACUCCAUUGGGACUGGGAGGGAGGUAUUUAUGAGAGAACAUAUAGUUUUAUGGUGUCACACAUGUAUUAGUAGUUAAAGAACGAAGAACUUUUGUUGAUAGAUUUUUUUUUACACUCCAAAAAAUAAAUGACUUAUUUUUUUUUUCUUGCUUGGGAAACCCCAUGUAUGUUUGUUUCAUUUUUCAGUAAAGAAUAUAGUGAAGUAACUGCUUUAUAUCAUGAUUAUAACUAUUGAAUUAGGCUAGAAACUGUUGAAAAUAUGAUUUAUAAUAUUUAGCAUCCAAGAGGAUGUAAUAGUGCAGUAUUUGUUCUAUAUUGAUAUUUGAACGGCUGUAGGUAGCAAUUGAGGUCGUGAAAAGGUAGCCAUCAUCAUAGAGAUUUCCUAGCUUUUAGCAAAAAGAAUAUAACAAUAGUUAAAAGACGGGACUAGGAAAGUUUGAUGAAAUUUUCAUGCUAUAUAACCUUUUAUAGGAUAAGAUCUUUGGCAAGCAAUUAAUUAAAUGUAUUGUUUUGUAAAAAGGUUUUGGAUAAUAAGUUGAGGGUAAUAUGAUUCUUUUGAGAAGUUUCUGAAUUACUUGGGAUUUUGGCACUAAAUAGAUCCAUGCAUUAUUUGUGAAAUACAACUAUAUUUUUAGUUCUAUAUCUUGUAUUAAUUUUCUAUUUCUAAGUAUGCUCUCUUCCCCUAACAUUUUCAUUAUAUGACAAAGGAUAUUGGCUAAUCGACAAUCUGCUACUCGCUCAAAGGAGAGGAAAGCUCGCUAUAUACAGGAACUUGAGCGAAAAUUUGAGACUCUUCAAAUAGAAGCUACAACUCUAUCUGCCCAACUCACACUCUUUCAGACUCUUCAAACAUUGGUAGUUGAAGUUAGAAUUUUACUAACUUUGUUGUAAAUAUUUAGAAUAUAUUUCACUAACUUUGUAUACAUUUCUUGUUUAAUAUUUGGUGAUGAUAGAAUUUGACUAUAGUAUAAACUAUGUAAUAUGAUUUUGUAAGCCGAGUAGAAUAAAUAUUGAAAUUAUAUUUUUGAGUAAUUAAUAAAAAAUUAUUUUUGUUGUAUUUUC
Molecule: long non-coding RNA, 3241 nt
Organism: Humulus lupulus (European hop)
Lineage: Eukaryota; Viridiplantae; Streptophyta; Magnoliopsida; Rosales; Cannabaceae
Exons: 3
Source: RefSeq, a predicted model, not a curated record